CGUCCCAGCCCCAUUUAACUGCUCGGCGGCGGCAGCGACUGCGGCGCCGCGGGCUGGAGGCCGGCGUCGGGGAACGUCCUGGUCCCGGAUUCCGCACGAGGUGUUGACGGCGCCGCUCCCGCCCGCCUCUCCGCCGCGCGCGCCCGGCCCGCGCCGCCCGGGCUGCACGUUCCAGAAGCGUCCACCGCGCAAGGUUCAAGAGAGAUCCCCAGGAGACUGGACCCCAUGGCUUCCUGGCAGAGCUCCUGGUGGCUGCUGAUACGGACAGUCUUCAUGCCCUCUGCCCUCCUGCAGGCCACAGCAGAGAAGUCCCCCGGAGCCUACUUCCUUCCUGAGUUUGCACUCUCCCCUCAGGGAAGUUUUCUCGAAGACACAACGGGGGAGCAGUUCCUCACUUACCGCUAUGAC
Long non-coding RNA from Ailuropoda melanoleuca (giant panda), 408 nucleotides. RefSeq lists it as uncharacterized. The record is from RefSeq and is a predicted model, not a curated record. Lineage: Eukaryota; Metazoa; Chordata; Mammalia; Carnivora; Ursidae. The transcript has 3 exons.